GAUCAUGGCUCAGGAUGAACGCUAGCUACAGGCUUAACACAUGCAAGUCGAGGGGCAGCAUGAACUUAGCUUGCUAAGUUUGAUGGCGACCGGCGCACGGGUGAGUAACACGUAUCCAACCUGCCGAUGACUCGAAGAUAGCCUUUCGAAAGAAAGAUUAAUACCCGAUGGCAUAGUUCUUCCGCAUGGUAGAACUAUUAAAGAACUUCGGUCAUCGAUGGGGAUGCGUU
Molecule: ribosomal RNA, 230 nt
Filed under: uncultured bacterium
Lineage: Bacteria
Description: partial 16S ribosomal RNA
Rfam family: Bacterial small subunit ribosomal RNA
Source: RNAcentral